Molecule: microRNA precursor, 190 nt
Filed under: Oryza brachyantha (malo sina)
Lineage: Eukaryota; Viridiplantae; Streptophyta; Magnoliopsida; Poales; Poaceae
Description: MIR1435 microRNA precursor family
Rfam family: MIR1435 microRNA precursor family
Source: Rfam by way of RNAcentral
UAGGUUUGUCCUAAGUCAAAGCCUCUUCAAGUUUGACCAAAAAUAUAGCAACAUUUCCAACACAAAAUAAAUGUGCUAUAAAAAUAUAUUCAAUGGUGGAUUUAAUGAAACUAAUUUUGUGUUAUGGAUGUUAAUACAUUUUUUAUAAACUUAAUCAAACUUGAAGAGUUUUUACUUGGAACAAACCCAA